This 174-nucleotide small RNA is filed under the name Gopherus agassizii (Agassiz's desert tortoise). Its description in RNAcentral is "TUC338 (ENSGAGG00000012494.1)". Lineage: Eukaryota; Metazoa; Chordata; Testudines; Testudinidae. The record is from RNAcentral.
UUGGCAGCCCUGGAGACUGAAGCCUUCUAUUUACCCCCCAAACAGAUCUGACAGGGCCACAGCAGUGCAAGUUCUUCCCCAAAUUGCUGACCCCCACUUCCCUCAGCCCUGACCAGGAGGGAUUAUGCCGCAGAAGUGAAAGGAUAAACCAGGGGUUCUCAAAUUGGGGGUCAG